This 253-nucleotide ribosomal RNA is filed under the name uncultured bacterium. RNAcentral describes it as "partial 16S ribosomal RNA". It matches the Rfam family "Bacterial small subunit ribosomal RNA", at positions 524 to 776 of the family's 1533-position model. The record is from RNAcentral.
GACGAACCGAGCGAACGUUAUUCGGAAUCACUGGGCUUAAAGGGUGCGUAGGCGGUGUGUCAAGUCAGGCGUGAAAGCCCCGGGCUCAACCUGGGAACAGCGCUUGAGACUGGCACGCUCGAGUUCGGGAGAGGAUGGUGGAAUUCCCAGUGUAGAGGUGAAAUUCGUAGAUAUUGGGAAGAACACCGAUGGCGAAGGCAGCCAUCUGGACCGACACUGACGCUGAGGCGCGAAAGCGUGGGGAGCAAACAGG